Molecule: ribosomal RNA, 1242 nt
Filed under: metagenome
Description: bacterial LSU rRNA
Rfam family: Bacterial large subunit ribosomal RNA
Source: RNAcentral
UGAAUACGAGAUGCUACGGCGUCGAAGCAGUCUAUGUCAUACUUCCAAGAAAAGCUCGCACUGUCAUAAACAAAUAAUGCCUGUACCAUAACCGACACAGGUGGGUAGGUAGAGUAUACUAAGGGGCGCGAGAUAACUCUCUCUAAGGAACUCGGCAAAAUGACUCCGUAACUUCGGGAGAAGGAGUGCCUUAUUUAUAAGGUUGCAAUAACAAGAUCCAAGCAACUGUUUAUCAAAAACACAGGUCUCCGCUAAGUCGUAAGACGAUGUAUGGGGGCUGACGCCUGCCCAGUGCCAGAAGGUUAAAGAAGUUGGUUAGCAUUCGCGAAGCUGAUAACUGAAGCCCUGGUGAACGGCGGCCGUAACGAUAACGGUCCUAAGGUAGCGAAAUUCCUUGUCGGGUAAGUUCCGACCCGCACGAAAGGCGUAAUGAUUUGGAUACUGUCUCGGAGAGGGGCUCGGUGAAAUAGACUUGUCUGUGAAGAUGCGGACUACCUGCACCAGGACAGAAAGACCCUAUGAAGCUUUACUGUAACUUGAGAUUGAAAUUGGACUUUACUUGCGCAGUAUAGGUGGGAGGCGUUGAUAAUAUUCUUGCGGGAUUAUUUGAGCCAUCAGUGAGAUACCACUCUUGUAAUGUUAGAUUUCUAACUUUGUAUCAUUAUCCGGUCAAAGGACAGUUUCAGGCGGGCAGUUUGACUGGGGCGGUCGCCUCCUAAACGGUAACGGAGGCGCACAAAGGUUUCCUCUGAACGGGUAGAAAUCGUAUCUAGAGUGUAAAGGCAUAAGGAAGCUUGACUGUGAGACCUACAAGUCGAGCAGGGACGAAAGUCGGUCUUAGUGAUCUGACGGUGCUGAGUGGAAAGGCCGUCACUCAACGGAUAAAAGUUACUCUAGGAUAACAGGCUGAUCUCCCCCAAGAGUUCACAUCGACGGGGAGGUUUGGCACCUCGAUGUCGGCUCAUCGCAUCCUGGGGCGGUAGUACGUCCCAAGGGUUGGGCUGUUCGCCCAUGAAAGCGGUACGCGAGCUGGGUUCAGAACGUCGUGAGACAGUUCGGUCCAUAUCCGGUGUAGGCGUUAGAAUAUUGAGAGGAGCCUUCUUUAGUACGAGAGGACCGAGAAGGACAUACCUCUGGUGUACCAGUUAUCGUGCCAACAGUAAACGCUGGGUAGCUAUGUAUGGAGUGGAUAACCGCUGAAAGCAUCUAAGUGGGAAGCCCACCUCAAGAUAAGUAUUCUUC